RNAcentral lists this unclassified non-coding RNA (364 nucleotides) under uncultured bacterium. Its description in RNAcentral is "contains 16S-23S intergenic spacer region". The record is from RNAcentral.
UCCUGGUUGGCCCAGGCAGUCUUGUUUGAAAAAUACAACAAACAACAAGGGUUUCGCUCGUUGCCGGACUUAACCGAACAUCUCACGACACGAGCUGAGGACGGCCAUGCAACACCUGUCACUGGGUUCCCGAAGGCACUCCGACGUUUCUGCCGGAUUCCCAGGAUGUCAAGCCUUGGUAAGGUUCUUCGCGUAGCAUCGAAUUAAACCACAUGCUCCACCGCUUGUGCGGGUCCCCGUCAAUUCCUUUGAGUUUUAGCCUUGCGGCCGUACUCCCCAGGCGGGAUGCUUAACGCGUUAGCUUCGCAACGCAGAGGGUCGAUACUCCACACUACUAGCAUCCAUCGUUUACGGCGUGGACUAC